RNAcentral lists this ribosomal RNA (773 nucleotides) under uncultured archaeon. Its description in RNAcentral is "bacterial SSU rRNA". It matches the Rfam family "Archaeal small subunit ribosomal RNA", at positions 102 to 859 of the family's 1478-position model. The record is from RNAcentral.
AGGUAACUUGCUCUAUGGACCGGUACACCCUCGGGAAACUGAGGAUAAUCCCGGAUCGCUUAGGGAUACUGGAACGUUCCCUAAGUCAAAGGGGCGCAAGCUUCGCCUUGCGCUUGCCGUAGAAUAGGCCUGCGGCGGAUCAGGUUGUUGGCGAGGUAACGGCUCACCAAGCCUAUAAUCCGUACGGGUUGUGGGAGCAAUAGCCCGGAGAAGGGGACUGAGACAAGGCCCCUAGCCCUACGGGGUGCAGCAGUCGCGAAACCUCUGCAAUGCGGGAAACCGUGACAGGGGAAUUCUGAGUGGUUUUGCUUUUGCAGAACCUUUUCCCGAGUUUAAAACGCUCGGGGAAUAAGGACUGGGUAAGUCCCGUGCCAGCCGCCGCGGUAAUACGGGCAGUCCGAGUGGUGCUCACGAAUAUUGGGCUUAAAGCGCUCGUAGCCGGCUUGGCAAGUUCCUUGUGAAAUCUUGCGGCUUAACCGUGAGAAGUGCAAGGGGUACUACCAGGCUUGAGGGCGGGAGAGGCGAGAGGUACUCUCGGGGUAGCGGUAAAAUGCUAUAAUCCCGGGCGGACCACCGGUAGCGAAGGCGUCUCGCUGGAACGCGCCUGACGGUGAGGGGCGAAGGCUAGGGGAGCGACCCGGAUUAGAUACCCGGUUAGUCCUAGCUGUAAAUUAUGCAGACUAUGUGUCGCGCGACCCUCGAGGUCGCGCGGUGCCGAAGGGAAACCGUUAAGUCUGCCGCCUGGGGAGUAUGACCGCAAGGUUGAAACUUAA